This 1083-nucleotide ribosomal RNA is filed under the name Triticum aestivum (bread wheat). RNAcentral describes it as "partial small subunit ribosomal RNA". The record is from RNAcentral. Lineage: Eukaryota; Viridiplantae; Streptophyta; Magnoliopsida; Poales; Poaceae.
CUGAGAGGAGAAGUGGAUUGCCCCAAAUUGAUGGAAUUACUGAUUGCAACUUUCUGCAAAACCAGGCAAUGGCCUUGGCAAAUCAGAGGAUUAUCUCAUAAGACCUUUUUGGUUAGGUUUCCCCCCUGGAAGAAAGUGGAAGAUCUCAUUGAGCUACCUGGGUUCUCCCUGCCUCAAGAUGUUAAUGUCACACUGACUGAGUGGAAAGGAGGAUGGGAGCCUUUUGGUGAAUUGAUUGAAGCUUGGGUCCUAGUUGAGGGCAUCCCUCCUAAAUGGUGUACUUCAAAAGUUUUUGCUCAGGUUGCUUCUCUCUUUGGGGCUCUGACUGAUGUUGAUUGGAAUGGCAUGUUUAGGACCUUCUUUGAAAAUGUCAGAAUUAAGAUUGCUUGCAGAGAUCCAACUAAGAUUCCUUUUGAGAGGCUGAUUGAGAUGAAAAAGAAAUUUUUCCUGCUAGGUUUUACUGUUGAGGGAUUUGAGCAGGUGGGUGGGAUAGACUCUGUCAUUGAUAUUGAUGAUGAUGAGGAUGGUAAUGAAGAGGGAGGAGAAGCUGAAGAGGAUCAAACAGGAGAGGGCAAGGAGACUCAUGAAGAACAUAAUGCCGAUGGAUCAGAGGAUGGAGGAUUAGCCAUUGAUGAACUGGACAAAGCCAACUUCUCAUCCAAACAUGGGACUGCCAGCAAACAGGUAGCGAAAAAUUGGGUGUUCUCACCAAUGGAACCUUACCUUGACUCUGAUCAGGAAAGCUUUAUCCUGGCAUGUGCUUUGGCCAAAACUGACAAAACUUCCACAUCUUCUGCUGCUGCUGGGGAGCUGUGUGGCCAAAACAAACACCUAAUGGUGAGGCAAAACAGUAUUGAUCUGCAUGUUGAUAAGGAUGAUUCAGUUGUAGGUGAGACUGGGAUCCAAAAAACUCCUGCUACUAUCUGGAAAAAAAGGAUUGCAACAACAGAUGGGGAGAAAUCUGAUAAUAUGGACUAUUGUCAGGAUCUACUUAAAUCUGUGGACUUAUCUGAGUCUGAAAAUGAGGAGCUGAUAGAGGAAGAUCUGAGGGUUCUCCCCCCUAAGGCCAUCCAUAUCCCGUAG